UUCAGGACAGGCCUCCUGUGCAGACAGGCCUACUGUUUUAUCAAUUUGCAUAAAAAGAAGCUGCUUACUGCUUGGACAUCCAACUGGAGUCAGAUGUUGCUAUGGAAAUGGACAAAAAAACCCACACCAGCAGUUUCUUACUUACAUGCUGCAUACUUACCAGCAAAUCCAAGAAACAAGCAACCUAAACAGGAACUGGUUGAGCCUCAUUACCCCACUAGUGGACUGCUCCAGAUCUGGAUUCUUCCGGCCCAUGUGGCCGCAGCGUGAGAGAGGAGGCGUGUGGCAUGAAAUGCGUCUGUGGAGUGGAAGGGAACACAGUCACUUCAUACCGGCGCUGUGUAUCAAUGCCUCCAUCUGCGAGAGGAGAGUGGACAAAGGGAAAACGAGGACAUGACCUUUGUAUAAUUAAAAGCUGCUUGCUUUUAUUUCCUCCAC
Molecule: long non-coding RNA, 438 nt
Organism: Xiphophorus couchianus (Monterrey platyfish)
Lineage: Eukaryota; Metazoa; Chordata; Actinopteri; Cyprinodontiformes; Poeciliidae
Exons: 2
Source: RefSeq, a predicted model, not a curated record